CCGGGCGGGGCCGGGGCCGGGGCGGGCCUUGCUCCCCCACUACCCCCGGCUGCGCCCGCGGCUCCGGAAACGCGCCGCGGGGCUGCUGGGCUCAGCCGCGCGCGGGCGGCUCCGUGGCGUUUCCUGCCACGCCGGGCCUGCCUGGGCCUCGCCAACGCCGCUCCGCCGAGGUCCGCGCGUCGGCCGCCACGGGGCCGGGGAUUCAGUGACAUUUGAUGACGUGGCCCAGUACCUCACAAAAAAGGAGCGCCUGAGACUGGACGCUGAGCAGAGGACACUGGCAUACUACAGGAAUGUGAACUCCGUGGGAGUUCCUGUUUUGAUUGCUGCCUGGCUCCUCACCUGGUACAAGGCCACGUGGUGCUGGCAUCUGAGCCAUCCCUGAACACAGACUGAGGUAAGCAUUCCGCUGAGUGCAAAAGAACCCCGGAAAGUGCGAAGAAACUGUGGAGGAGGCCCCCGCCGAGCCUUUGGGGAGGGGGUGUGGCUGCUUCUCAGUCACAGGAGGGGAGACCUCCUCAGCACCCCUUUGGUAGGGGGCGUCCAGCAGUGACA
RNAcentral lists this long non-coding RNA (555 nucleotides) under Panthera leo (lion). Its description in RNAcentral is "lncRNA (ENSPLOG00000008217.1)". The record is from RNAcentral. Lineage: Eukaryota; Metazoa; Chordata; Mammalia; Carnivora; Felidae.